ANUAAGNCCUGCAUGUCUAAGUAUAAGCAAUUAUACAGCGAAACUGCGAAUGGCUCAUUAUAUAAGUUAUCGUUUAUUUGAUAGCACCUUACUACUUGGAUAACCGUGGUAAUUCUAGAGCUAAUACAUGCUAAAAGUCCCGACUUCGGAAGGGAUGUAUUUAUUAGAUACAAAACCAAUGCCCUCCGGGGCUCAAUGGUGAUUCAUGAUAACUUCUCGAAUCGCACGGCCUUGCGCCGGCGAUGGUUCAUUCAAAUUUCUUCCCUAUCAACUUUCGAUGUUUGGGUAUUGGCCAAACAUGGUGGCAACGGGUAACGGAGGGUUAGGGCUCGACCCCGGAGAAGGAGCCUGAGAAACGGCUACUACAUCCAAGGAAGGCAGCAGGCGCGCAAAUUACCCAAUCCCGACUCGGGGAGGUAGUGACAAUAAAUACUGAUACAGGGCUCUAUUGGGUCUUGUAAUUGGAAUGAGUACAAUUUAAAUCCCUUAACGAGGAACAAUUGGAGGGCAAGUCUGGUGCCAGCAGCCGCGGUAAUUCCAGCUCCAAUAGCGUAUAUUAAAGUUGUUGUGGUUAAAAAGCUCGUAGUUGAACCUUGGGCCUGGCUGGCCGGUCCGCCUCACCGCGUGCACUGGCCCGGCCGGGCCUUUCCUUCUGUGGAACCCCAUGCCCUUCACUGGGUGUGGCGGGGAAACAGGACUUUUACUUUGAAAAAUUANAGUGCUCCAGGCAGGCCUAUGCUCGAAUACAUUA
Molecule: ribosomal RNA, 751 nt
Filed under: uncultured eukaryote
Lineage: Eukaryota
Description: SSU rRNA
Rfam family: Eukaryotic small subunit ribosomal RNA
Source: RNAcentral